GUGGGUAGUUUGACUGGGGCGGUCUCCUCCUAAAGAGUAACGGAGGAGCACGAAGGUUGGCUAAUCCUGGUCGGACAUCAGGAGGUUAGUGCAAUGGCAUAAGCCAGCUUGACUGCGAGCGUGACGGCGCGAGCAGGUGCGAAAGCAGGUCAUAGUGAUCCGGUGGUUCUGAAUGGAAGGGCCAUCGCUCAACGGAUAAAAGGUACUCCGGGGAUAACAGGCUGAUACCGCCCAAGAGUUCAUAUCGACGGCGGUGUUUGGCACCUCGAUGUCGGCUCAUCACAUCCUGGGGCUGAAGUAGGUCCCAAGGGUAUGGCUGUUCGCCAUUUAAAGUGGUACGCGAGCUGGGUUUAGAACGUCGUGAGACAGUUCGGUCCCUAUCUGCCGUGGGCGCUGGAGAACUGAGGGGGGCUGCUCCUAGUACGAGAGGACCGGAGUGGACGCAUCACUGGUGUUCGGGUUGUCAUGCCAAUGGCACUGCCCGGUAGCUAAAUGCGGAAGAGAUAAGUGCUGAAAGCAUCUAAGUACGAAACUUGCCCCGAGAUGAGUUCUCCCUGAGACUUUAGGUCUCCUGAAGGAACGUUGAAGACGACGACGUUGAUAGGCCGGGUGUGUAAGCGCAGCGAUGCGUUGAGCU
Molecule: ribosomal RNA, 637 nt
Filed under: Salmonella enterica subsp. enterica serovar Weltevreden
Lineage: Bacteria; Pseudomonadati; Pseudomonadota; Gammaproteobacteria; Enterobacterales; Enterobacteriaceae
Description: partial 23S ribosomal RNA
Rfam family: Bacterial large subunit ribosomal RNA
Source: RNAcentral